UAAAGCUAAAAAGCUUCGAGAAAUGGAAUGCUCCUGAGGAGAACUGUAGAGAAGGACGGCGAGGAAGAUUGAAGUUCUUUUCGGAGAAAGAAAACCAAGAAACACAACAACCACACCCCAGAGAAGAACCCUCACUGUGUCGUCGUGGUGUUGCCAGGGAAGGACGCAGGGGGCCGUCAAUUUCUUUUGUUGUUGUGGUGUUGUCAGAGCAUAAGCCCGUUGAGGCCGCGCGACACAGAGUGGAGAAGACCAUGAAGUGGUUCUUCUGAAAAGAUGUCUCGUGUGUAUGUUGGUAACUUGGAUUCAGGAGUCACCGAGAGAGAUCUCGAAGACGAAUUUCGUGUUUUCGGAGUUAUUCGGAGUGAAGGACUUGGGAGGCCUAUGAUGGAGAUAUUACAUUUGCAAGUGCCUUGGAAACUUUUGGUGGUGGGCAUAAUGACCCAAUCAGUGUGGCUUUGGGAGGUAUGCUCCCUUUUUACAUCAAUAUUAUGAUGGUUGAUGA
Molecule: long non-coding RNA, 502 nt
Organism: Glycine soja
Lineage: Eukaryota; Viridiplantae; Streptophyta; Magnoliopsida; Fabales; Fabaceae
Exons: 3
Source: RefSeq, a predicted model, not a curated record